Molecule: small nucleolar RNA, 128 nt
Filed under: Neotoma lepida (desert woodrat)
Lineage: Eukaryota; Metazoa; Chordata; Mammalia; Rodentia; Cricetidae
Description: Small Cajal body specific RNA 4
Rfam family: Small Cajal body specific RNA 4
About the family: scaRNAs are a specific class of small nuclear RNAs which localise to the Cajal bodies and guide the modification of RNA polymerase II transcribed spliceosomal RNAs U1, U2, U4, U5 and U12. ACA26 belongs to the H/ACA box class of guide RNAs as it has the predicted hairpin-hinge-hairpin-tail structure, conserved H/ACA-box motifs and is found associated with GAR1.
Source: Rfam by way of RNAcentral
UCUAGAGGAUCAAGAAGGCUGUCUGAUGAAGCAAGACUUUGCUGAUACAUUCCUCCUAGAGAAAGGGGUGGAGAGAACAGAGUCCUUAUUGAAGAAAACCACAGGGUCAACUCUACUACCCAACAUUU